This 754-nucleotide long non-coding RNA is filed under the name Panax ginseng (ginseng). RNAcentral's name for it is "long non-coding RNA (PGIN_LNC014784)". The record is from RNAcentral. Lineage: Eukaryota; Viridiplantae; Streptophyta; Magnoliopsida; Apiales; Araliaceae.
AAUAAAAUAAAUAUUAAAUACGAAAAUAAUUAAUCCAAUAUCUCUACCACAACAUGCAUCAAAUUCUAGAUAGUUGUCAAUAUUAACCAAAGCCAAACAUCACAAGCAAAGAACACCUCAGCUGAAGCACAAAGAAAAGUGAAUAAUAAAAAACAUCAUCUACAUGAUGACCAUCACAUCCACCAACUCAUCAUGACACUAAUCCACUAUCCCCUUAUUAAAUUAAAGUAUUAUUAACACUCAUUACAAUAAAAUAAGUACUAAAUACAAAAAUAACUUAUCCACGCAACGGAACAUAUAUUUAUUAUGAUUUUAGAGUUAGUUGUCAAAAUAAACCAAAGCCAAGCAUUACAUGGAAGAGCACUUAACCAGUUGCAACACAAAGAAAAGUGAAAAACAAAACACCAUAAUAAAUAACACUCGAUACAAUAAAAAAUAAAUAAAUCAUCCACGAUCUCUGUCACAACCAUACAUCUAAUAUGUUUCUAGGUAGUUAUAAAAAUGAACCUAAGCCAAACAUUACAAGUAAAGAGCACUUAAACAAUUAAAGUAGAAAGAAAAGUGAAAAAUAAAACAUCAUCCAUAUGAUUAAUGAGUAUACUAUCACAUUCACUAACUCAUACCACUUAUCCACUAUCUCGUUAUUAAAAGUUUAAAGUAAGAUUAACACUCAACAUCAUAAAAUAAAUACUAAAUGUUAAAAUAACUCAACCACGAUAUCUAUCACACCAUACAUCUACUGAUUCAAGGGUAG